RNAcentral lists this ribosomal RNA (425 nucleotides) under uncultured bacterium. RNAcentral describes it as "bacterial SSU rRNA". It matches the Rfam family "Bacterial small subunit ribosomal RNA", at positions 355 to 771 of the family's 1533-position model. The record is from RNAcentral.
UGGGGAAUUGUUCGCAAUGGGCGCAAGCCUGACGACGCAACGCCGCGUGGAGGAUGAAGACUUUCGGGUCGUAAACUCCUUUCGACCGGGAUGAAUUCCCAUCGACCCAACACGUCGAUGGGGUGACAGUACCGGGAGAAGAAGCCCCGGCUAACUCCGUGCCAGCAGCCGCGGUAAUACGGAGGGGGCAAGCGUUGUUCGGAAUUACUGGGCGUAAAGGGCGCGUAGGCGGAACAUUAAGUUAGGGGUGAAAGGCCUGGGCUCAACCUGGGAACGGCCUCUAAGACUGAUGAUCUUGAGUCCGGAAGAGGAUGGCGGAAUUCCCAGUGUAGAGGUGAAAUUCGCAGAUAUUGGGAAGAACACCGGUGGCGAAGGCGGCCAUCUGGUCCGGUACUGACGCUGAGGCGCGAAAGCGUGGGGAGCAA